Molecule: long non-coding RNA, 4439 nt
Organism: Anas platyrhynchos (mallard)
Lineage: Eukaryota; Metazoa; Chordata; Aves; Anseriformes; Anatidae
Source: RefSeq, a predicted model, not a curated record
GUGGGGCACCAGCUGCAAGCCCUUGGCCCACUCAGACCUUAUUUAAGGCCCUGAGCCCUGGUGUGGGCUGUAGGAUGGUGCUGUGUAUGGCUUGAGGUGCUCAUGUUGGUCCAGAGGCCCAGCUGAAGCCAAGCCUGGCAGCAGCUGCUACGUAGACAGAAAGCACGCGGCGGAGCUGAUGCACGGUGCCUCCUGCUGAGGACGAGGCUAUUAAUGAACUGCGUAACCAGGCAGGAGGUUAUCCAUGGAAGAAGAAGAGGAGCAAUAUGUAAAUUUGCCAGAAAGCUUUUUAAAGUCACUUUUAUUAAGAAAAAUGUGCAAGCGUGCAUCCCUCAAGACAUUGAAUGAGUGUCCCUAAAAAGGGAUUUACCAGGGUUGCUGGUGGUGAGAUUCUCUCCGGGAAACUACCAUGUUCUCCCUCCUCGUAAAUGCUCUGUUUUCAUCCAUUUCACGUUCGUGUUUUUAAGUCAUGAUAUUUUUCAGUCAAGGCUAUGUGUUGAUGGCAUACUUGUCCUGGAAGGUGGCAGACCCUACUGAUCAGUGACACAGGCAGCAAAGCUGGCUCCAGCCUUCCCUGACAUCCAGACGCAGGAGCUGAGAGAAAUGCUGUGUCUCUGGAGAUGAAGGAUCCCUGCCGAGUGACAUUUUCUCUGCCUGAUGUAUUGCUCUGCACCUGUUGCCAGGCGAUGAGGUGCGAGCCUGCCAGCCGUGCUGCGCCCGAGGAGCGAGCCCGAUGGCACCCGCUCGGCUGCCGUGCCCUCCUGGGGACGGGGCAGCGCUUCCAGGGACGAGCUGCUGGAACAAGAGCCAGGCCAAUUCUGCCACUCGAUGCUCUGCGGCCAUCACAUCCAAGCCCCACUGUGUGCUGCCCACUCUGGAAGCAUUGGGCACGUUCCCCUGCAGCCUGAGUGCCAGCUGAGGCUGAGCGAGAGGUGCUCAAGAGGUAGAAAUUUAACCGUGUUAAUUUAGAUAAUAUUUAAAAAAAAAAAAAAAAGUAAAAAGUAAGCACCAGGAUAUGUUUAUAGCCUGGUUAAAACUGCAUUGUGCAGCCCUAUAGCAAUGCUGUGCUGGAGGUCUGUGGUUGCUCUAACAGGUCCUGUGGUCCCAGCCACUGCAGGGGAAUGCCACGAUGGCAGUCGCAGAGAUGUGUUUAAUUGUUUUCUGGAUUCCUCAGUCUGGUCAAUUUAGUGGCUUGAAGAAGACAAAAGAGUCUUAUCCCUGUAAAUAAACCUCUGCACACCCAUUUGUAAACAAACACAUAAAUCCAGGUUUAGCAACAUGGUUAAUGCUGUUGGAAGUUCUCAGCAACUCCCUCCUCGAUGAACUGUGAGUUUCAAAACCAUGGUGCAAAAAAAGGUCUUGCAGCUGCAAUGGUAUCAAGAUGAGCCCAAGCUUCGUUAGAACGAAUGCCAUUUGUUUAAAAAUAGAAAUAUUAUGCCAUCUUCCAGCAGCAGAAAUGAAAAAAGCUAUUAAAGGAUUAUGAUUCUGUGACUUCAGACCUAUUGUAGUCUUAAUAUUUCAUGGUGCAUUGACAUAGAGUACAUAAUAUGCUGAACAGCACUGUUGGCUUCAGCUGUUGCAAACAGUAUGGUGCAGAAAUAAUUGAACUAAAAAGAAAUUACAGCCAUUCAGAGAGGUAGCAACUCUGCUCUGUAGAUGUGAGAUUGUAGGUGCUGAGCCAAACAUGCACUUAAAAAAAAUAAUUGUUUUUGAUGGAAAAAAUGUAGGUAGAUUCUGCUUUCACUGGCAUGGUCGUUUAUGGUAGGACCAAGUAGGAGUCAGAUGCUGCACUGCUCUGCCCGUGGAGGGAGAUCUGAUUUGUCAGCAGUAUAUAAAGGCAAAGAGUAUGGAAUAUGAGGCCUUAUCUAUACAGCGAAUGACAUUCAUUUAAGGAACGCUGGUGUGAAUCUCUGUUUAUGCUUUUAAGUCUCAGAUGUAUCAUCCAGUUACUGCAGCUUAACAAGUCGCUGUUUGUCAGCUGUGCUGUUAAGUAACUGUGUACGCACCCUUAACCCAGUGUAGAUAUGACAUAAACCAUGUCAGAUGACAUCUUUCAUCUGGUUUUAUUCAGUUCAUUUCGCUUAAACUAGUUCCUAGUCCUUAAACAAAACCCAAACAGGGCAGUUUCCGUCAAAAUAGCUGUCUGGACAGAUUCUUCUUGUAUCUUAACCAAGCCAUAUUUUAAGUCAAACUGGGUAAACAUGUGUAGGCGAUUCCUUGGACUCAGAUAUUGCACAUCAGCAGAAAAAUCUUCUCCUGCAGUUCUGUGUGACUGCUUUGGUAAAACGUGGGACUGCAGAGGUGGAAGGGAGAAAGCGACCGGGAGGGGAUGCCAAGCAAAGGCAUCAGGAGCCAGCUGGGGUGCUGCCCCAGGCACCUCAGGCAUAUGGCCAGACUGGGUUUCUGUACCGCAGCAACUAUAUAUUUUCAGCUCAGCCUUUUGUUCUCCCCCAGCUGCCCAUCCUAUGCAUGAUCCCUUCCAACAGGGGAAGAUUUUACUCAAGGGAUGUUUGGCUACUAAACCUUCUCUUGUCUGACUGAGGUUUGCCCAGAAGCAAUGUAAACAGCCAGUUAAUUUUCAUUGUUGUCCCCUCACCCCCAAUCAAAAACACACAGUUUUGAUUCCUGUAUCGUGUACAUGUCAUCCGUUCAGAGGAAUAUCUAUCAUUUGGGGAUUUUGAUGCCUAUGACCAGUAAAUCAGAGGGUCCUGCCCUUGCUAGCAAGACAUUUUAACAAGCUUUUAGGGAGCUUGUGUGUGAGAGAGAGAAUUGAGAAGCAGCCUGUUUUUUUUUUGCCUUCUGAAUUCCUUUGACUGCCAGUGGCAAAUGUGUUAUCUUUUUAAAUACCCUACUUUUUAAUUUGUUAUUACUGUUGUGUUUAAUAUAAAUUGCUCUGUUUUGUUUUUAUCUAAAUGACAUCAGAAUCUGGGAGGGAGGAAGCAAUGGCUUGUGAGAGGUUAGGACCUUUGAUUUUCUCCUUGCAGCUGUCAGAAGUCUUCCGUCUCUGGCUACAUACUCUGAGCAGAGGUAUAAUCAUCAAUCUGGAGACAUCUAAUUAGGCUCACUCCUCCCAGCCUGCCUGCUGCGGCGUGAAAGCCUUCGCCUGGCAGAGCUCUCAGGCUGACAAACAGGCGCUUCUGCGCUCGCAAGAGACCCCAGUGGUAGCGGGGUGCUACCAGCUGGAGCCUUUUGUAGCAAUAUUCCCCAAUUUUUCAGAGCUGCACCCCUUGCUGUGCAGCCGAGCUGCCCGGUGUUGCUGAGGGCAAAGGGGAGGAAUGGCCAAGUGCAGUGACAGAGGGGUGCCAGGCUCGCCGCCUCCUGUCAUCAUGGUGACAGCGUGAGGACUGCUCCAGCAGUUAGGGGUUUUCACCCAGGAAAUGACCGAAAGACCACUGAAUGAGAAGCGCUCUCAGGUUUGGAAGGGAAGGGGACUAAAGACACUAAGACAUAUACCCAGGGGCUUUGGGGGCACCUGCCCUAGCCAAACCUUUCCUCAUUUCCUGGUGCUGCUCCGUUACCCAGCCCGAUCAGCAGUGCCCUGCCAGCCAGCUCACACGCGCGGUGUUCUGGCUGUCACACAGUUUUGCCUUGAGUCACAUCCUUCAUUUUAAGGUAUUUUGACCGCCUGGUUCCUCAUCACCUCCCGCAGCCGUUCCUGCCCUGACAGCAGCUAGCUCUGUGCCUCUUGCUUGGCUUCCCUGUCCGCCUCCGGAGCGGCGGGGACUGACUGCUGGUGGAUCGGUGUUUUGGAUUAGCUGGACCUCAGGUCUGAUCCAGGUCUGGCACUCGCUGCAUUCCUCUAUAUCUUUGAGCUGUUAACUGCUGAGCUGCCUGUCACUCACACGGUGACGUGCCUGUCACUCAUGUACUUACCGUCUGUGUGACAAGAAACGUGACCGAGUCAGGCUCCCAGGAGGAGGCUGAAAAAAGGGAGGGAGGAGAGGCAGGCAGAGGCUCCUCUGGUGCCCGAUCUCCAGGAACACAAUGUUGUUUAAGAAAUAGAAGAAGGAAAGAAAAAAAGCCAUUUUUGAUCAUUUCAUUUUAAGCAAGAAAUAAAAGAGGAAGAAAUGUUCCAGCAGUAUUGAAAAGUUUCAACAGUACUGGAUUACAGCAUGGCAAUAUUUCAUUUGGAAAUAGAUUUUUUCACUUGAAAUUUGUUAAAUGGUGUAUGUCAACUAGGAAACUCCAAUGUUUUGAUCGCUGGAAAGCAUCUGUUGGAAGGGUAACUUUUUUCCACAAAGAAUUUGGAAAUACCUCAUUUCCAACUUGUAACAAAGACAAAUUUCAGCAUGGGAGAAUUGCUCUCAGUGUCCGUCCUAUGCUCACAAGUAUUAACACAGUGCGUGCUGAGGGCAGGUGUUUUUACCCCCCUCACACCUUGAGCGAUGUGAAAUCAGGUUGAAUGGUUCUGGUCCCUCCACAACCUGGUGAGAUUCCAU